CAGAUACACUUCAACUCGGUUUCAGACUCCGCAGAGCCGCAGACGCGCUUACAUCGAUCGGUUUCGCCUAAUAAAGCGACCGCGAUCGCCACGCUAAUUAAAAUAAUUGAAAUUUCUCACGGGAAACGCGCAUCGCGACACUUGCAGGGCAUCCUAUGUCCACUCUAUAUAUCCCCAUACCCCAUUCGCCAUCCCAAUGCCAUUCUACUUCCCCAUCCUCUGCGAUAUCCGUUGCUAGUGCGGCUAAUUGCAAAUUGCAACAUGGACAUGUGGACAUGUCCAACAAUCGAAUUGACAGCUGCUUUACCCCUGGCACAUUUGAUGGACAUUAACAUGGAUCAUCGUCCGUUGUCCCAUUCGUGCUCCUCCACUCGCUGGCGCUGGCAAGGAUUCCAGCAUAAAUGCAUAAAUUUCAUUAGUCGCUGACAGGACGGUGCCAGCUAGUGUUGAGUCCCUAAAUUAAGUGGACGGGUCAACUGAGUUAUUCCAAGCUCUGAUUGAGACCGUUAACCCAUUGUUGGCCAUAUUCCUGGGCAUACUUAUGUAUUUAAUGUAUUGAUACUUUUAUUUAAUAUUUAAAAUGACACUAUUCAUAUCAGUAAAAGAUCAGUUAGAAUCAGGUUGGUUUAAGGGGAAGCUUAGUUUUUCUCCAUAUCCUGUGAUAAUAUCCUGUGAUGAUAUUCUGAUAAAAAAAUAACAAAUUUCCAAAAUUUGUACAUCAAAAGCACAAUUUUCUGUUUCUUCCAUUGGAAAUAGUAAAUUCAUAGUAAAAUAUUAAUAAAAGUAUUCUUAAUAAUCUUUUUGAUUUUUUUCGAAAGAAAUGAUGAACAUAAUAAUAACAUAAUAUUAUUAUUAACCAAUUGUAAAGGCAGAAUCGUAAGAGAAAUAUUGUUUAAAUAGGCUUCAAGGAUUUUCCAACUUCAUUGCGAUUUUACUGAAACCAAAUCUCUUUAGUUCCCUCAGAAAAUGGGUUAAUGGUGCCACAGGAAAUGGCGACCACAAAUAAAAGUAACUAAACGCAGAGUUCCACAAAAUAUUGUUGCCUGCGAUCGUGGAUCGUGGCAUGCGCACUCUGAUCGAGAUCGCAGCGACAGAUAGCGGAGCAAAGUUACGAUCAUACAUAUGCAUAUAGAGUGGGGCCUCGAUGCCCCAAAGAACCCCACCACCUUCUCCAUAUCCUCGCCUUUGGGGCCGUAAAGUUGUCGAAAAUGAUUUGCAGAUCAAGAUUUGUGCGCACAAUUUAUGUGAUAACCCACUAAGAGCAGUGGAGUAAGACAAAAAAAAAAGUUGCAAUACCAAUGGUCCAGAUCGGUCCACUCUCCCUGACCAUGUCCUGCUCCUUCCGAUCCUCCUACAGCGUCCAAUUAGUGCGUAGACUCCAGUUUCAUUCGAAAUUCAUGGACAAUUGUUAGUGCCUCCGUGUAGCCGCUAAUAAUGACGCCUUUAAAUGUGCAAUAACAAUUUUUGAGGCGCGCAAAAAGUGACUACUAUAUAUAUUCUCAUAUAUAUAUAUAUAUAUUAUACACUGCAUUCGUGUGCGUGAGCUUAAGUACCGCCCAUAGGCCAGCAAACCAGCUACUGCUGCAGUGACUCCCCCUCAAAAGCCCCCCAACUUCGCGUUCCAGACGAUCUACAAAAAAGUUGCUCAUGAGCUACGUGAGUUUUUUACUGAUCAGCUAGCCGAGAGCAGAAGAUUGACUUUGAUCUGUUGGUGGUAAUGGGUAAUGGGUAAUGGAUAAUGGGCCAGCCUGAGUGCACUUUUCACUUAGCCUGGCCAAUUGGCAUCCCAAAUAUGACUCAUAAAGUGUGGUAUCUACAAAGUUGCUUAAGUCACGUUACGUAUACGCACCGUGUGCCCACAAACAUCUCAGCGGAAUUCAAUGAUAAUAUGAUAAUGAGCACGUUGAUAGAUUGCCUUGACAUUUUAUCAUCGACUCAACUUUAAAUGGAGCUGUUAAGGGGAGAACUUCAUUUACUCGUGAUUUUGUUAGCAGAUUGCCAAAUUAGGUGAAAAUCCGUGCAACAACUAUGCAAUGUAAUGCAGUGGGUGGAGUAAACAUUGGUUGUCAUGAGAAUCACACCACCCACGACUUUUAUCAAUAUCUGCGAUAAUGAUGGAUCCCAAUGGAAAUUUCUUUGUUUGUUGCUCACAUUAAUGGGAAUGUAGUUGAGUCAUUGAUUAAACUUUCCACAGUUGCUAAACAGAAAAAAAGUACAAGAAUAUGUGACAUAAAGUUACUUCUACUUUAAAUAAUACCAUGUUUAUAAUUGAAAAGGUAUAUAAAUUUGUAUAAAAUUGUUGUAACCUUUUCUACGCCCUGAAGGAUUUAUAACCCUGCUCCAGUCAAAUGAACUGUCAAUCUUGCGGUCGUAAUCAUUAAUCAAUUUAAUGCACUGCGUUUGGCUGAUUAAAAUUGGGUGCAUGUCCGCCUUCAGUCAACCAAAUUAAGCCCUUGGGAGUGGCCCCAGCCGCCCAAUUGAAAUGCCAACUCAUGUCCGGGGACAUGGGAUUUGGAGUUGGACCACAAGCUUGGAGGUUGGAGCUGAAAAGCCAAGACCGCCCGGUCGACAGGCGAACAAAGUGUGUGUCAGUUGCAGUCAAGUGGAGCCAUAAAGCUCCACGAUCCCACAGAUCGACGGUGGCGAUGUCAGCUACUGGCGAUCAGUCACCGGCGAACGGGAAUUGGAUUGGGAUUUGGAUUUGGAUAUGGAUAUGGAUGUGGUUUUGGAUUCGGUUGUGGGCGGUUUUCGCUUUUGGAUUUAUGGCCUGCCCAACGUCAGCCUAAUGAGCAGCCUGCAUCCAUAAUGCCGGCCCAAAGAGACAUUGAGCAUUGGAAAAAUACAGUAAAAAAAUAUAUGGGUAAAAUAGAAAAAGAAAAAAGUCAAUUGGAUUAGAUUAGACGGCGCAGCUGUCGUGACAGGUUGAGCGCUGAGUUUGGAGCUAAGAGCUGGGAGCUUGGAGCUUGGAGUUUGGGAAACGGGCACGAAUGAGAAUUUAUGGCCAAUGCCAGCCGAGCUGGAUCUUGGCCAGAUUUAGAGCUCUGGCUGCGUGCAGGGAACGCAAUAUGUUAUAAUGACUUCAUUACAUACAAAAAAUAAGCAACAGGAGUCGCAACGUAACGCUGGCUGGAAAAUUGCAAUAAAAAACGCGGCUUUAUUUUGACUUUUUCCCUGCCAAAUUUGGCCGCCUUGAUUCGUCGCAUAAUUGGCAAUUAUCGUGGCAGAUCGAAACGUGGGCGAUAUCCCCCAUUUCAAUAGCUAUUUUUUUUGUGUGUGGGUUUAUCUUUUGCUGCUUUUUCCUCGAUAUAGGUGGCACGCAAUCCCUGCGGGUUGUCUUUGUAUCUGUCAGGAUUUAUGCACUAAUGCACUUCAUUUCGGCUCAUUGUUUAUUGUGGCUGUGGGCAUGGUCAGGUGCGGUUAGCGGCCAUUUAUUAAUUGCAAAAACCAUUCACUUUGCCUCCAGUUGCGCCGAUUUAGCCUUAGGCCUCCAAGUGAAUGGGACCGAAAAAAAGAAAAAACAAACAUAGAGGAGAAACAAAAAUACAGCCAAACUCCUGCACGCACAUUUGCAUUUUGUGGCUGAAAUUAGCGUCUAAUUGGAGUUUACACGCUGCAUAUUUUAUUCGCAAAUAAAUUGUGUUUUUGCAGCGCCCGCUUUUUGGGGAUUCGAUUCGAUUUGAUUUGAUUUGAUUUUUCUAUUUGCUGCUUUUUGCCUUUGCCAAUUGCCAUUUGCCGAAUUUGUCAGCGUUUCUCGCUCUCUCAAUCUGAAUAGGCCCCAAGUCAAGUGCUGCGGGCCAUUCACCACGCACCAAUAUUAUUAAAUCACAGCGCAAACACCUGCAAUGGCUGCUCGACUUUGGCCUAUGCGGCGUAUGCGUGAUUUAUAAUUGCGAGCCACUAACACCAAUGCGUCGCACACACUCGCGUGCAUUUGAACACACUCAGACACACACGCACACACACACACAUACACCGGCACAGGUGCACGCAGGUAGGCGUGUUCAUUAGACGGCCUUAAAAACGCACACACUCCAAAAUGGCGACCAUAUCGCCAUCGUGCCUCACAGCCAACUUAUAAAUUGAGCAACCAAGAGCCAAUCUCGCAAGUGACACAAAUCGCACGGGGCGCAGGUGGCGAUCGCCCAGAUUCAUUCGAUGAGAUCACCACAAGUUCCCAGGAGCCCAAUCGGAUCCGCAUUCCAUUUGAACCUUAUUGAAUGAUAACCUUAAAUAGGUAAAAAAAAAAUGAUUUUGAUCUAGCCUAAAUCUACUAUAAAAGUUAUCAAGAUAAAGAUUAGCAAGAGUAUGUAAAAAGUAUAUAGAACUGCCUUUGAAGAUCUUCAAUUUCGUGAUAUACAACCGAAAUUCAACGCAAGAGACUAGUUAGUUUGAACUUUUUUUUAUUUAAAUGUAGAUUGGUUAGCACAUAAAAUACAUCCAAUUCUUAGCCAUUCUCUUCGCUGUUCUGGAAGAUAUACUAUUUAAAGUUUCAAUAUUAAAAUUUUGCAUUUGCAUUUGCAUUUGCAUUUUGUUUGCUAAGUAUCUAGCUGAAAUCUAGAAUCUGAGUCGGUUUCAUGAGAGCACCACAGUUAUUUGUGAAAUUCAAACUCAGCUACGAGAUACUUUUAUGGAAUUCGCACCUGCACAAUGUGGAUGUAUUUCAGAGAUCUUCCCCAGAAAUCGGAUGCAUGGCAUGUCGCCAGCAGAUGGAAGCAUCUUAAGCAUCUCCAGUUACUGCUGCUCCUGCUCCGUUUUCAGCGUGUUGAACAAGUGCUUGGGAUUCGGUGUGAAGUGAAGUGGAGUGCAUUGGAGUUAUCUCUGAGCUGUGCUUUCGGUGGCUUCGGUGGCUUCAGUUCCACUGGCGAGUGACAGGCGGUGGCUACCAGCGGGCAGCUGGAAAUUCGAUACGCCAUUUGCUGCUCCGACUAAUCCCGACGCGAUUCGGGAUGCACUGCCCACUCUGGGCUGGCAUUUUCCAAUUAACUUCGCAUUAGCCACCGCCCAAAGAUGGGUUCCACGCAAAUAUUCAUAUUCCACUGCUGCCGGCUGUCAGUCGGAGCCAUGUAACGUCAUCCGGGAACAUGACAGACGCGGUCUAAUCCCGCAUCCACGGCCAUAUCCGCGCCAGCGUUUGGCCAGCAAAAUUAUUAACGCCAUUAACGGCAAUAGAAAUAUUUGUGCAGGCCACUCGAAGACGCCCAGCCCCCCAACCACCCCGCUUAAUAAUAUCCAAACGAGUUCCACGGAGGAAGGAGGAGAAAAUUACAAGUCAUGGCUACAAGCGCCUGCGACUGUGGCCCACAAAUGUGACUAAUGGCAUUUCUGAAUGCAGAUUCAGCCGGGGGAUAUUCGAUGGUCCCCAAGGGGGGCGGUGCAGCCAACUCCUUUGCAGUUCUUUAAGUUUAUAGGCAACAAUUUUUAACGCCUUGCCAGCGUGACCAAGGCUACACUGCCACAAAACUAUGGAAUUUGCAAAGUUGUAGAAAAUGCAGAUAUUUAUGGAUAUGUUCUUAGGUGACCAAUCAAAAUAUUCCACUUCUUUAUCCUUUAAAACUCAUUAAACAUACUUAAAUUCACAUAUUUAUUAAUAUCAGAUCAAUUAGUUUCUCCCAGUGCAGCGGAUUCCGUGUGCGUGUGCUUUUCUGCAGCGUCAUUAAUUUUGCCAUGAAUUGACAAAAACAUCAUAAACUACUUGUUGAACAGAAAAUCCACUUCGGGCGACAGCAUCCCAGCAUCUCGGCAAUCCAGCCCACGCGCCAAUGGAGCCAAUAUAUAGGCCGGCGUAGCCAGAGAUCGGGAGUUGGGUGUUGGAACUUGGGAUGGAUUUGGGAGGUGGAGAUGCAAGAUGGAAGAUGCGAGAUUGGAGACUGUUGCCGCCCGGCAGGCUCAUGUUCGACGCUCCGUCUGUGGGGAGCGGCUGGCUCAUAAAUAUGCCAAUGACUUGGCCCCCAUCCGCUGAUCCCCCCUCCGAUCUUCACCAAGUGACCUGCAGCUGGAGGGCUUAUGCCAAAUUAAUGAGUCCAAAGAAUGCAAUCUCCGCCAGAUCAUCGUGCUGUGAUUCAGUGAAGGAGUGGCACAGAUUGCGGUAGUAAAUUGGGCAAACCUAUAAAUGUAACUUAUAGUCUUACUUACAAAUAAGUAUCCUUACCAUAAGAACGCUAUUUAAGUAAAGACCAGACUGCCUUAAAGAAACUCAUCAAUGAAAUCCAUAACAUAUAACAUAUAAACAUAAAAACGAGAACCGUUUGAGAUUACCUAUCUAUAACAUAACUUUUUAUAUCUCGAUCUAUUAGAUUUAAGAUGCAUCUUCACUGUUUUAUAGCAGUUGAUUGGAAAUAUUAGCGCUAUUUUAACGAGACUUUAUUCGCUUUGCACAAAAUAAACCAUUAAAAACAAACACUCAAAUUAAUGUGCUCUAAUUUGCAUAACUCGAGGAUCCAGAUGAUGACCACUUGGUCGACUUGCCCUCUUCCUGCUGACCCACACGGCGUAUGCUCAACGUUAAUUAACGUAAUGACGGCUGGGGGAAACAAACGCAGCACAAUUUAAGCCAACAAACAUUUACAAACAGGCAACAGCAAUUGGAUGUUUAAUGGAUAGCGAGCUGCGAUCAAUACCCUUGUCCCCCAGCACCAAAUCCACCGACGGAUCCCCAAAUCGCAUCUAGAAAAACAAGUAGCCGACAGAGAGUCGGGCAAAAGGUAAAUCGAAGCCGAGAUUAAUAGCGAUAAGGCUAUUGAUUAGCAUUUUAGCCACCGCCAUUAGGAGGAGGAGCUCUGCCCGCGGAGGCAGCACAAAAUCUGUGGCCGCUGUAGAUACUAUCUACACCUGGACGAGAGGAGGCGGGAUCGAUAUCGCUGGAUCGUAAGGUGUUGCAGGCAUGCGAUGUGGAGAUAAUUCAAGCGGAUGCUACAUAGUCCAAAAACCCGACUCCCUGGCUGAUCGCAAAAUUAAGCGCAUGCCGGCAAUUUGCAUAAAAGCAGUUUAAUGUUUAAAUGUUUUAUUGAAUCGGGGCUCGAUUACAAGAUCAGGGGGAGAAAGCAGCAAUGGAGGCGACUCUAAUUUGCAAUGCAAAUCCAGUGCUGAUGCCGAUGCUGCAACUAAACCAUUUGAACCGAUCCCAAGCCAAUGAGAUCCUCCAGUCGCGAUGGCUAUUUGUAAGGAGCCAUCGCAAGCCGGUUUUUUAAUUAUGAAAAAAAAAAAACCGAUAAGUUAUCAUGGGUAGAACGUGCGUGCACCAAAAGUGGGAAACGUUGCUCCAAAACGCUGAUCAGUUGUCAAUCAAAGGGGACGCUGAUGCUUCACACUCGAAUCUGUAGGAGAUCGGCGGGUAGGGUUGGAGGACGGAGGACAUGAAACCAUCAUCAUUAGUCGCUGCCGGAGACAUUGAGACACGUUUGAUAGCAGCCGACGUGCAGCAGCAACAGUUGCAGGAAAAGCUCUAAUUGCGGAAUGGCAGCUGCGAUCUGGAGUCUAAAGUCUGGAGUUCGGAGCUCACAGAGCGCGCUGUUCCAACUCCAGCUCCACAUCGCAGUCGAAACCUUAUCCAACUGUCAGUGGCAGUCAGCGGCGCAAAGUGACGCCUGAUCUUGAACUGGUUCUGCUGGCCGAACGCUACGCGGUGGUCCACGGCCAUCAGAAUCCCAGACAGCCAGCCGCAUAUGCAAGUGGCUCCCGUCGCCGCACGAUCAUAUCCAAUCCAUAUCCAUAUCCAUUCGCAUUACCAUUCCCUCUUGGCCAUUCCAAUUCUGAUAUUUCGUUACCAAUUUUUCUGGCCCUGCUGUGACCAAAUUGCGUAUCGAGUGAUCAACAGAUAUUCAGAGAUUCGGGGUCCGCCGGGGUCUACCACAUGCAGUGUCAUUACUCGAUUGGCGCAGGAAAUCAUAAAUUAAAUUCGAUUGUUUGACAAGGCUCGCGAAAUGUUUCCAUUUGAGCCAUAAGCGUCGCCCCACUCCAAUGCGUUUAUCUACACCGAGGAAAAUCUAUUAGCAUUAGUUGAAAAUUGCAUAGUAUAAUUAAAUUUAUUGAACAUUUGUGUAAUGUAGCCAAAUAACAAAGGCAUAUAACGUUAUAAGGAUGACAAUUGAUUGAUAAAAACAUCAUAUAGUGUAUGAUAUGGGUGUAAGUAUAAGUUUACCACCAUCAUACAUAGGAAUCUAUCUAUCUAUCUAUUUAUCCAUCUAUCUAUCUAUCUAUCUAUCUUUCUCUCUCUCUAUCUAUCUAUCUAUAUAUCUAUCUAUAUAUCUAUCUAUCUAUCUAUCUAUCUAUCUAUCUAUCUAUCUAUCUAUCUAUCUAUCUAUCUAUCUAUCUAUCUAUCUAUCUAUCUAUCUAUCUAUCUAUAUAUCUAUCUAUCUAUCUAUCUAUCUAUCUAUCUAUCUAUCUAUCUAUAUAUCUAUCUAUCUCUCUAUCUAUCUAUCUAUCUAUCUAUCUAUCUAUCUAUCUAUCUAUCUAUCUAUCUCUCUAUCUAUCUAUCUAUAUAUAUUAACGAAUCUAUUAUCUUAUCAAUUGUCGAACUUAUGGUUAAACUAUUUCAAUAUUCUUUUAAAAUGAUAAUACAUUUUUUCUCUCUGCCGGAUCGGAUAUCGCGGGCUCUACAAUUAGUACUACAUGCAACUGCAACUGCAUCUCCAACGUCCAUCGCACUGCGAGAGUCGGAGGAUGCAUCCAAAACGGGCAAGUGGCCGUCUAGCAGCUCGUACAUUCGUGUAAUGUUGGCCAAUGCUCCCCCCCAAAAUUGGCGUGCAGCGGAAAAAUGAGACAACGUGAUCCAAAGGCUCUCCAGCGAUCUAGCCGCAGAUUCCAGCUAGAGCUACAGCUACAGCUCCAGCUCCAUGCAGCACGCACAUAAUUCAUAAAUGUUGCCACAGCUGGCGGGGAUCGGCGGUAUCUGCAUCUGUAUCGGUGUCUGCCGGCUUGGGAGAUUCAUAGGCACGCACUUGGUCGGUCCACUCUGUGCGCCCCGAUCUCCUCCAGUCUUUGGUCUCUGCUCGCCGCAUUGGCCAUCAACACCAAUCGCCAAAUGGCGUUCGUGUGUGGCAAGUGACACACGAGGCGCUGCAGCACAGCUGGAUGCGUUCUCCUCAGCCACUCGCAUCUGGAUCUCUGGACCAGGUGGAUGUGGUGUGCCAACAAUGCCUACAAAUGGGGACCAUCCAUCAGUGCUGAUGGAGCUGGCAUUCCCACAUCCCGGAGAGCUAAGAUCGGGAUAAGCCGUAAAGACAUUAAAUAUAAUCUUCACAAUGAAAAU
Non-coding RNA from Drosophila melanogaster (fruit fly), 9247 nucleotides. NCBI's taxonomy places the organism in Eukaryota, Metazoa, Arthropoda, Insecta, Diptera, Drosophilidae. The record is from Ensembl.